This 1257-nucleotide ribosomal RNA is filed under the name Micrococcus sp. LC509. RNAcentral describes it as "bacterial SSU rRNA". It matches the Rfam family "Bacterial small subunit ribosomal RNA", at positions 57 to 1326 of the family's 1533-position model. Lineage: Bacteria; Bacillati; Actinomycetota; Actinomycetes; Micrococcales; Micrococcaceae. The record is from RNAcentral.
GCAGUCGAACGAUGAAGCCCAGCUUGCUGGGUGGAUUAGUGGCGAACGGGUGAGUAACACGUGAGUAACCUGCCCUUAACUCUGGGAUAAGCCUGGGAAACUGGGUCUAAUACCGGAUAGGAGCGCCUACCGCAUGGUGGGUGUUGGAAAGAUUUAUCGGUUUUGGAUGGACUCGCGGCCUAUCAGCUUGUUGGUGAGGUAAUGGCUCACCAAGGCGACGACGGGUAGCCGGCCUGAGAGGGUGACCGGCCACACUGGGACUGAGACACGGCCCAGACUCCUACGGGAGGCAGCAGUGGGGAAUAUUGCACAAUGGGCGCAAGCCUGAUGCAGCGACGCCGCGUGAGGGAUGACGGCCUUCGGGUUGUAAACCUCUUUCAGUAGGGAAGAAGCGAAAGUGACGGUACCUGCAGAAGAAGCACCGGCUAACUACGUGCCAGCAGCCGCGGUAAUACGUAGGGUGCGAGCGUUAUCCGGAAUUAUUGGGCGUAAAGAGCUCGUAGGCGGUUUGUCGCGUCUGUCGUGAAAGUCCGGGGCUUAACCCCGGAUCUGCGGUGGGUACGGGCAGACUAGAGUGCAGUAGGGGAGACUGGAAUUCCUGGUGUAGCGGUGGAAUGCGCAGAUAUCAGGAGGAACACCGAUGGCGAAGGCAGGUCUCUGGGCUGUAACUGACGCUGAGGAGCGAAAGCAUGGGGAGCGAACAGGAUUAGAUACCCUGGUAGUCCAUGCCGUAAACGUUGGGCACUAGGUGUGGGGACCAUUCCACGGUUUCCGCGCCGCAGCUAACGCAUUAAGUGCCCCGCCUGGGGAGUACGGCCGCAAGGCUAAAACUCAAAGGAAUUGACGGGGGCCCGCACAAGCGGCGGAGCAUGCGGAUUAAUUCGAUGCAACGCGAAGAACCUUACCAAGGCUUGACAUGUUCUCGAUCGCCGUAGAGAUACGGUUUCCCCUUUGGGGCGGGUUCACAGGUGGUGCAUGGUUGUCGUCAGCUCGUGUCGUGAGAUGUUGGGUUAAGUCCCGCAACGAGCGCAACCCUCGUUCCAUGUUGCCAGCACGUAAUGGUGGGGACUCAUGGGAGACUGCCGGGGUCAACUCGGAGGAAGGUGAGGACGACGUCAAAUCAUCAUGCCCCUUAUGUCUUGGGCUUCACGCAUGCUACAAUGGCCGGUACAAUGGGUUGCGAUACUGUGAGGUGGAGCUAAUCCCAAAAAGCCGGUGUCAGUUCGGAGUGGGGUCUGCAACUCGACCCCAUGAAGU